Molecule: long non-coding RNA, 208 nt
Filed under: Mytilus galloprovincialis (Mediterranean mussel)
Lineage: Eukaryota; Metazoa; Mollusca; Bivalvia; Mytilida; Mytilidae
Source: RNAcentral
CCGUGACGUCAUCAACGUUUUUUCAUGGUUUUCUACGGUUUAAAAUGGAAUUUAGAAUUAAAUUAUAAGAAAUGACUGUAAUAUUUUUUCUGUCUAUUCGAAAUAACAUAAAAAAUGUGGUGCACACUGUUAAAUAACCUGCUACGCGCGUUAUUCAGUGUGCACCAAAUUUUUUAUGUUAUUUCUUCAUAGACAGAAAAAAUAUUAG